GUGGAACAAUGUGGAAGAAUGUGUUUGCUUGGCUCAAAAUGACCUUGACACCUGAGUACGACCAGUCUCCAUGAAACAGCCAUGGAGCAGAGCUAUUCAGGCAUCUCCUGCGACCAGCUGUGAUGAAGGAGGCUGCACAGUGCGGGCCCUCGGAAGGAAGGCCGUGGACUGGGCACCUCGGCUGCUCGGAUGGAUGGGCAUUGGUGCUUAAAAUAGCCAAUCGGAUGGUAAUGAGAUGGGAAGCCGCACGUCACGGCAGAGCGGAACAGGCGCCGUGCUACGACAGCGCUUUCCGGCAAGAACAAAAGUCUCCAAACUGAUGGGCCCCACCGAGGAAAAGCAGGUUUCCUCGCCACGGCGAUUUGGAGAUUUUCAGCCGAUCGACUGACAGAGGGGGGCGACUGCUGCACAUGGAUGUUGGAUAGGUCAACCUGUUUGUAGAUGGUG
Long non-coding RNA from Brienomyrus brachyistius, 447 nucleotides. RefSeq lists it as uncharacterized. The transcript has 3 exons. The record is from RefSeq and is a predicted model, not a curated record. NCBI's taxonomy places the organism in Eukaryota, Metazoa, Chordata, Actinopteri, Osteoglossiformes, Mormyridae.